CAAUAGCGUAUAUUUAAGUUGUUGCAGUUAAAAAGCUCGUAGUUGGAUUUCGGGCGGGGCCUGCCGGUCCGCCUUUGGUGUGCACUGGCAGGGUCCGCCUUGCUGUCGGGGACGGGUUCCUGGGCUUUACUGUCUGGGACUCGGAGUCGACGUGGUUACUUUGAGUAAAUUAGAGUGUUCAAAGCAGGCUUACGCUCUGAAUACAUUAGCAUGGAAUAACGCGAUAGGACUCUGGCCUAUCUUGUUGGUCUGUGGGACCGGAGUAAUGAUUAAGAGGGACAGUCGGGGGCAUUCGUAUUUCAUUGUCAGAGGUGAAAUUCUUGGAUUUAUGAAAGACGAACUA
RNAcentral lists this ribosomal RNA (343 nucleotides) under Choricystis sp. ACT 1005. RNAcentral's name for it is "SSU rRNA". It matches the Rfam family "Eukaryotic small subunit ribosomal RNA", at positions 592 to 942 of the family's 1831-position model. Lineage: Eukaryota; Viridiplantae; Chlorophyta; Trebouxiophyceae. The record is from RNAcentral.